GACGAACGCUGGCGGCGUGCUUAACACAUGCAAGUCGAACGGAAAGGCCCUGCUUUUGUGGGGUGCUCGAGUGGCGAACGGGUGAGUAACACGUGAGUAACCUGCCCUUGACUUUGGGAUAACUUCAGGAAACUGGGGCUAAUACCGGAUAGGAGCUCCUGCUGCAUGGUGGGGGUUGGAAAGUUUCGGCGGUUGGGGAUGGACUCGCGGCUUAUCAGCUUGUUGGUGGGGUAGUGGCUUACCAAGGCUUUGACGGGUAGCCGGCCUGAGAGGGUGACCGGCCACAUUGGGACUGAGAUACGGCCCAGAAUGCUACGGGAGGCAGCAGUGGGGAAUAUUGCACAAUGGGCGGAAGCCUGAUGCAGCAACGCCGCGUGCGGGAUGACGGCCUUCGGGUUGUAAACCGCUUUCGCCUGUGACGAGGCGUGAGUGACGGUAAUGGGUAAAGAAGCACCGGCUAACUACGUG
RNAcentral lists this ribosomal RNA (468 nucleotides) under uncultured bacterium. Its description in RNAcentral is "partial 16S ribosomal RNA". It matches the Rfam family "Bacterial small subunit ribosomal RNA", at positions 28 to 507 of the family's 1533-position model. The record is from RNAcentral.